CCCAAACACGUCUCCACCCUCGCUAGCGAUAACCAAUGAACCCAUCUAGACAGAGUGUUCAUGGUAACUGGCUUGUACGGUUGGUAUAAGACCAGCAGAUGUCCUGAAUGUGACAUUCUAAGUGUUGUCGUGAUCUCCAUGUAACAAAGUACCGCUUUAACUGCACAAAGACUGGGAAACCGUCGGUAACAGGGAACGAUACAGACGCGGAUAAGAUAUAGUUCUACGAGACACUGUAGAAAUUAUUCUUUCCGGUGAUACCGAAAAGACCGUCUACGUCGAACUCCAGUACAUCUGAUACCCGACGAAAAGACCUAAAAGUAACGUGACUCUGGCUAAUGGCUGACUGAGGGAUAGGACCGUGAUAUCUGACUAGCUCCAAAAGAACCAAAUCAAAGUCCCACACCAGUGAUACUUUGACGCAUGGUUCUGGACGGUUUGAUACCCACAGAAAAUGGCAUAUCAAAGGCUCUUGAUUGACCGGAGUGUCGUGAAUCGUGCUAUGCAUCGUCGAAAUUGCGGAACGUAGCCCGUUAAUGGAACGUUCCGAUCGGCCUGUAGUGAAAAGGUAUGAUAAAGAUCCAGCAUCGUGGAGAUAGGGGUAAUAAAAGGAUCGCAGUCCCUUCCCAUACUACAGCGAACUCAAGGUGUUCCAUGCGGAUAAGUUAUUUCGGGGGAAUACCUGGCGUCCAUGAGUCCCAUAGUAGGUCUCUAGUUGGUUGCGAUAGUCCCUUGACAUACCAGUCUCCCCUGGAAGACACCAAUCUACCAACUCCAGAUGCUCCUGCAUUCUCAAUGGAUGAUGUUCUCCUUUUGGAUCCGCCCGAAGGCAAGUUAAAA
Molecule: non-coding RNA, 840 nt
Organism: Pelobates cultripes (western spadefoot toad)
Lineage: Eukaryota; Metazoa; Chordata; Amphibia; Anura; Pelobatidae
Source: the annotation of a GenBank genome assembly